This 72-nucleotide transfer RNA is filed under the name Pangasius djambal. Its description in RNAcentral is "tRNA-Glu". The record is from RNAcentral. Lineage: Eukaryota; Metazoa; Chordata; Actinopteri; Siluriformes; Pangasiidae.
UCCCUGGAGGACUAGUGCUUAGGCCACAGCGCGCUCACCGCCGCGGCCCGGGUUCGAUUCCCGGCUGGGGAA